CUUCCGUAGGUUAACCUGCGGAGGGAUCAUUACACAAAUAUGAAGGCGGGCUGGAACCUCUCGGGGUUACAGCCUUGCUGAAUUAUUCACCCUUGUCUUUUGCGUACUUCUUGUUUCCUUGGUGGGUUCGCCCACCACUAGGACAAACAUAAACCUUUUGUAAUUGCAAUCAGCGUCAGUAACAAAUUAAUAAUUACAACUUUCAACAACGGAUCUCUUGGUUCUGGCAUCGAUGAAGAACGCAGCGAAAUGCGAUAAGUAGUGUGAAUUGCAGAAUUCAGUGAAUCAUCGAAUCUUUGAACGCACAUUGCGCCCUUUGGUAUUCCAAAGGGCAUGCCUGUUCGAGCGUCAUUUGUACCCUCAAGCUUUGCUUGGUGUUGGGCGUCUUGUCUCUAGCUUUGCUGGAGACUCGCCUUAAAGUAAUUGGCAGCCGGCCUACUGGUUUCGGAGCGCAGCACAAGUCGCACUCUCUAUCAGCAAAGGUCUAGCAUCCAUUAAGCCUUUUUUCAACUUUGACCUCGGAUCAGGUAGGGAUACCCGCUGAACUUAAGCAUAUCAAUAAGUGGGAGGAAGAG
RNAcentral lists this ribosomal RNA (575 nucleotides) under Alternaria sp. ZG-1-4-2. Its description in RNAcentral is "eukaryotic LSU rRNA". The stretch from base 198 to 351 matches the Rfam family "5.8S ribosomal RNA". Lineage: Eukaryota; Fungi; Ascomycota; Dothideomycetes; Pleosporales; Pleosporaceae. The record is from RNAcentral.